This 300-nucleotide unclassified non-coding RNA is filed under the name Zea mays. RNAcentral's name for it is "misc RNA Zm00001eb090930". Lineage: Eukaryota; Viridiplantae; Streptophyta; Magnoliopsida; Poales; Poaceae. The record is from RNAcentral.
CAAGAAUCAGAGCACAUCAUCCCUGCAGGUUCCCCCUAGCCAAUUGAAACUAUGUCUGCCCAAAACACUAAAGAGAAGAGACGUCAUCAUGUUCCACCCUGUGCACCGGAGCCAAGGCCUCCCCUGGGGAAACCUCAAGGCCCGCACAGUGCACGCAGCAUGGAUUGUAGCACAGAUCUCCCGAAUAAUCCUCGUGGCCGAUGCAAUUAAGAACCGCCUGCUCGGGAACAUCGUCAUGGAUUUGUUCACCAAUGUGCACCGGAGCCGAGGCGUCCGCGGAGGGAUCCUCAAGGCCCGCAC